CCUACGGGAGGCAGCAGUGGGGAAUAUUGCACAAUGGAGGAAACUCUGAUGCAGCAAUGCCGCGUGUGUGAAGAAGGCCUUAGGGUUGUAAAGCACUUUCAGUGAGGAGGAAAAGUUGGUCGUUAAUACCGGCCAGCCUUGACGUUACUCACAGAAGAAGCACCGGCUAACUCCGUGCCAGCAGCCGCGGUAAU
This 194-nucleotide ribosomal RNA is filed under the name gamma proteobacterium 3-1B. RNAcentral describes it as "partial 16S ribosomal RNA". It matches the Rfam family "Bacterial small subunit ribosomal RNA", at positions 338 to 524 of the family's 1533-position model. Lineage: Bacteria; Pseudomonadati; Pseudomonadota; Gammaproteobacteria. The record is from RNAcentral.